Molecule: long non-coding RNA, 315 nt
Filed under: Mytilus galloprovincialis (Mediterranean mussel)
Lineage: Eukaryota; Metazoa; Mollusca; Bivalvia; Mytilida; Mytilidae
Source: RNAcentral
UUUUUUGUAGCCACAUUAUUACCAUCGUCUGUUUAUCUGGCUGCCCUUUUAGUUUAUAUGCACUCAUUAUUAUUAUUUUUAUUUUAUUUUUUAUUUAUUUUUUGGGGGGAGGGAUGAUUUCCAGUCAUGGUUUUGAGAAUACUUAGUCUAGUACUUGAUAAAUAUUAUUCCAGUUGCUGUAGAUGAACAGGUAGGUUUAAAAUGUUUCAUACACGCAACUUUAUAGUGCUAAGUCCACCAAUGCAAGUGCUCCAAGAAACAUUUUUCAAAUUCAUCUUUUACAUCGAUGUUAUCAGUUAUCAAAGUAAAUAUUAC